GGCUGUAGCUAGGUGAUAGAGUGCUUGCUUUGUAUGCACGAGGCCCUAGGUUCAAUUCCUAGUACUGUCA
This 70-nucleotide transfer RNA is filed under the name Neotoma lepida (desert woodrat). It matches the Rfam family "tRNA". From Rfam's summary of the family: Transfer RNA (tRNA) molecules are approximately 80 nucleotides in length. Their secondary structure includes four short double-helical elements and three loops (D, anti-codon, and T loops). Lineage: Eukaryota; Metazoa; Chordata; Mammalia; Rodentia; Cricetidae. The record is from Rfam by way of RNAcentral.